RNA transcript from Hevea brasiliensis (rubber tree), 723 nucleotides. RefSeq lists it as uncharacterized. The transcript is spliced from 6 exons. The record is from RefSeq and is a predicted model, not a curated record. The annotation marks the transcript as partial. Lineage: Eukaryota; Viridiplantae; Streptophyta; Magnoliopsida; Malpighiales; Euphorbiaceae.
ACUCAAUUCUAUCAUUUCCUUCUGUUCAUAUGUGAAUCUAAUUGUUUUUCAUUAUCUGUGGAUGACAUAAAUAAUGAAACUUUGCAGUAUGUUGCUACUUUACAAGAACAGUUGGAACAACUGGCUGAAGAAAGAAAUCCAGAUGGUUUACUUAGAGUUUCAAAGGCUAAGGUGAAUGAUUAUUCAGAGAAGAUUGAAGCCAUUGCUUCCAGAAUAGCUGCCCCAUUGCCUUAUAUUCAGGUAUCUGGAGAGUCUUUUGCUGGGAGUUCUGCAAAAGAAAGUCCUAAAGCAGAUGGAGAAACUUAAUUCCCCUCUUCUCUGGGCUUGAGAAGAAGAUUUGUGGCAGCCUCAAAUAUUGAUGGCAGAAAUUAUGACCUUAAUCAGGUUCAUACAUCAGCACCUGUCAAACUAGAUACUGCAGCAAAAGCACACAUUGAAAAGCACAGAAAGCUUCAGGAGGACUUGACAGAUGAAAUGGUUGGGUUGGCACGUCAACUUAAGGAAAAUAGUCUCCAUACGAGCCAGUCUCUGCAAAAUACUGAAAAGAUACUUGAUUCUACAGAGAAGGCUGUUGAGCAGAGCUUGGCUAGAACUAGCCGUGCCAAUGCACAAGCCUUGGAGAUAUACUCAAAAACUUCCAAGACCACAUGCUUUACAUGGCUUGUGAUUUUUCUAAUGACAUGUAUUUUCAUCAUGGUUGUACUCCUAAUUCGCAUCACUUGA